UACGUAGGUGGCAAGCGUUAUCCGGAUUUACUGGGUGUAAAGGGCGUGUAGGCGGGACUGCAAGUCAGAUGUGAAAACCACGGGCUCAACCUGUGGCCUGCAUUUGAAACUGGCAGUCUCGAGUUGGAGAGAAGUAUGCGGAAUGCGCGGUGUAGCGGUGAAAUGCAUAGAUAUCGCGCAGAACUCCGAUUGCGAAGGCAGCAUGCCGGCUCCACACUGACGCUGAGGCACGAAAGCGUGGGUAUCGAACAGG
RNAcentral lists this ribosomal RNA (253 nucleotides) under uncultured bacterium. RNAcentral describes it as "partial 16S ribosomal RNA". It matches the Rfam family "Bacterial small subunit ribosomal RNA", at positions 524 to 776 of the family's 1533-position model. The record is from RNAcentral.